Molecule: long non-coding RNA, 907 nt
Filed under: Chrysolophus pictus (golden pheasant)
Lineage: Eukaryota; Metazoa; Chordata; Aves; Galliformes; Phasianidae
Description: lncRNA (ENSCPIG00010013925.1)
Source: RNAcentral
CAAGAAAGGAGAACGUAUCCGAGUGGGGAAGAAAACAUACUUUGGGAACUGGAAACCUUGGGAGCAGCGCAUUUGUAUUGUGCGCUUAGUCAGCGCUGCAGAGCUUCAGGAAUCCCCUUGUUGGCCCUUUGCUGCACGAAGUUCUUCGGUGGUUCUACUGCAAAUGGUGAGGUCUCCUGGUUCAGAACUAUGAAAGUGCCAACGUCAUGAGGAGGAGCUGCUGCUGCCCGGCUGCUGCCAGAAGUCUGCCUGCUUGCUGCGGAGGUGCCAGCGUUUAUGAAUGACUUCCUCGCCUUUGUCAACGUGAUCUUGCCUCGGCUGAGUUGCUUUCGUUGGGUUUCUGUUGCACGGCCAGGCUCGCUUUGCCCUCCUGUGGCUGACGGAGGACGUUCAAGACGCUCUAUCUCUGUACAUCAGUGCCCUCCAGGGCUGGAGUUGGCUCAGACUUUGCCCUCUACUCAAAAACAGCUCUGUGGUGAUUGCAUUCAGUAUUUAAGAUUACUUCUAAGGUUGCUGAUUUGUUUUGAGAAUCUGAUGAAAUACAUCGAGAGGAAACAAGGCUGGGACGUCGAUAGCUGGCUCUGGAUGUUCUUGCCUUCUUGGAUGCGGCAGAGCAGGAGGGCUGAGCCCAGGCUCUCUGGGGGCUGGAGACAAAACCUCAGAGCUGGAAGCUGCAUUGUACCGUGUGGAUCCAGACGCCCACUUCAGCAAUGCCCCAUCUCUGCUGUGCGGAGAUGGCAGCGCUCACAUACAGCCCGUGCUGCUACAUCUAAGGCUCCGAGCAGCAGAAGGCUGAGUGCCGGGAAGGGAAGCUGGCUAGCCAAGCUCUGAGAGCAUUAUAACCUCCAGGUGGUACGCCUCAGUGGCAAACACUAGUGUUUAUCCUCUACGCUGGGAGAAUACUGAG